UUCCGGUUGAUCCUGCCGGACCUGAGAGCUAUCGGAUUGAUACUAAGCCAUGCGAGUCAUUGUAGCAAUACAAGGCAGACGGCUCAGUAACACGUAGUCAAUCUAACCUAUGGACGGGGAUAACCUCGGGAAACUGAGAAUAAUACCCGAUAGGCCAUUAUGCCUGGAAUGGUUUAUGGCUAAAAUGAUUUAUCGCCGUAGGAUGGGACUGCGGCCUAUCAGUUUGUUGGUGAGGUAAUGGCCCACCAAGACUAUUACAGGUACGGGCUCUGAGAGGAGAAGCCCGGAGAUGGGUACUGAGACACGGACCCAGGCCCUAUGGGGCGCAGCAGGCGAGAAAACUUUGCAAUGUGCGAAAGCACGACAAGGUUAAUCCGAGUGUUUCCUGCUAAAGGAAUCUUUUGUCAGUCCUAGAAACACUGAUGAAUAAGGGGUGGGCAAGUUCUGGUGUCAGCCGCCGCGGUAAAACCAGCACCUCAAGUGGUCAGGAGGAUUAUUGGGCCUAAAGCAUCCGUAACCGGCUGCAUAAGUCUUCGGUUAAAUUCAUAUGCUCAACAUAUGGGCUGCCGGAGAUACUGUGCAGCUAGGGAGUGGGAGAGGUAGACGGUACUCGGUAGGAAGGGGUAAAAUCCUUUGAUCUAUUGAUGACCACCUGUGGCGAAGGCGGUCUACUAGAACACGUCCGACGGUGAGGGAUGAAAGCUGGGGGAGCAAACCGGAUUAGAUACCCGGGUAGUCCCAGCUGUAAACAAUGCAAACUCAGUGAUGCAUUGGCUUGUGGCCAGUGCAGCGCCGCAGGGAAGCCGUUAAGUUUGCCGCCUGGGAAGUACGUACGCAAGUAUGAAACUUAAAGGAAUUGGCGGGGGAGCACCACAAGGGGUGAAGCCUGCGGUUCAAUUGGAGUCAACGCCGGA
Molecule: ribosomal RNA, 914 nt
Filed under: uncultured archaeon
Lineage: Archaea
Description: bacterial SSU rRNA
Rfam family: Archaeal small subunit ribosomal RNA
Source: RNAcentral